RNAcentral lists this long non-coding RNA (975 nucleotides) under Mytilus galloprovincialis (Mediterranean mussel). The record is from RNAcentral. Lineage: Eukaryota; Metazoa; Mollusca; Bivalvia; Mytilida; Mytilidae.
CUUCGGGAAUGUUUUUCAUUGUUAAAUUUUGUAUGGUUGUGUAAAAGUUCAAUGUAGUGCUAUCAAAUAAAUUCACAUACGCUAGAAUGUGUUUGAAAUUACGGUGAAAUGAUUCUAAAUAACGGUAUAAUUAAUUUGUCAAAUAUUGUAUAUAUAUCCUAUAAACUGAACUUGCUUUUGGAAUAAAGUAUUAUUAAAAAUAUAAGUGAUGGAGAAAUAUUAGAAAUACUAAGUAACUGUUUUAUUUCUGUGCCUUUUCGUCUCCUCUUUGAUGACUGAAAUUUGACAAGUUAUAACAAUCUCAACUACUUAGAAAAAACAAAAACAAGAUAUAACUUUCUGUGUAUAUAUAUAGUACUGUUUUGUUUCUGAUAAGUUUAGAUAAAAUUUAUAAAAAGGGGGGAAACACAUACCAAGAGCGUACUAAAGUCCAAAAACAACUGACAACACCAUGAUCAAAAAGGAACAUGACUAACGACAAACAAAUACAAAACACUAUAAAAAGACCUAAAGAUCGAUCAAUACGAACCAGACAAAAAACGGAAAAGGGAGAGAGAGGGGGGAGGGGGUGAACUCAGAUCGCAAUGUGUAAAUUUAUAUGAUAAACGGUAUUCAAUAAACUCCUAGUUGGAUGUUAUAUUCAAUAUGUAUAUUACAGGUUUAAUGCACAUCAACUAUACUCUAGAAUAAAUGUUUCGGAAGUCAAAAGAAAUUUUAGCGAAUAAUUUUACUACCUAUUUGAAUACAAAAUUAAGUGCAUCCGAUCAAACAUCGCCAAACAAGUUUUGCGAGCUUUACAAUUUUAAGUCCUGAGCAAUUAGCCUUUCAAUAGAUCAAUAUUUUAUAUUGUCGGCAUAUUCUUGUAAUCAUGUAUUUGUUAUGUUAAUGAGAUAUUUAUUGUAUGUUAUUUGUUAUGAACAUCACAUAGAUUGUAACCAGUAUGGAUAUAUAUUUUUGUGACGAAAAUAAAGUGGU